RNAcentral lists this ribosomal RNA (800 nucleotides) under uncultured bacterium. RNAcentral's name for it is "bacterial SSU rRNA". It matches the Rfam family "Bacterial small subunit ribosomal RNA", at positions 9 to 803 of the family's 1533-position model. The record is from RNAcentral.
GAGUUUGAUCCUGGCUCAGGAUGAAGGGAAGCGGCAGGCUUAAUACAUGCAAGUCGAGGGGCAGCGGGGGUAGCAAUACCUGCCGGCGACCGGCAAACGGGUGCGGAACACGUACACAACCUUCCUUUUAGUGUGGGAUAGCCCAGAGAAAUUUGGAUUAAUACCACAUAGUAUAUUGGGGUGGCAUCACUUUGAUAUUAAAGAUUUAUCGCUAAAAGAUGGGUGUGCGUAUGAUUAGGUAGUUGGUAGAGGUAACGGCUCACCAAGCCUUCGAUCAUUAACUGGUGUGAGAGCACGACCAGUCACACGGGCACUGAGACACGGGCCCGACUCCUACGGGAGGCAGCAGUAAGGAAUAUUGGUCAAUGGACGGAAGUCUGAACCAGCCAUGCCGCGUGAAGGAUGACGGCCCUCUGGGUUGUAAACUUCUUUUAUAUGGGACGAAAAAAGGCUUUUCCAGGUCGUCUGACGGUACCAUAUGAAUAAGCACCGGCUAACUCCGUGCCAGCAGCCGCGGUAAUACGGAGGGUGCAAGCGUUAUCCGGAUUCACUGGGUUUAAAGGGUGCGUAGGUGGGUUGGUAAGUCAGUGGUGAAAUCCCCGAGCUUAACUUGGGAACUGCCAUUGAUACUAUUAAUCUUGGAUACCGUGGAGGUCAGCGGAAUAUGUCAUGUAGCGGUGAAAUGCUUAGAUAUGACAUAGAACACCAAUUGCGAAGGCAGCUGGCUACGCGAAUAUUGACACUGAUGCACGAAAGCGUGGGGAUCAAACAGGAUUAGAUACCCUGGUAGUCCACGCCCU